Molecule: long non-coding RNA, 1188 nt
Filed under: Sus scrofa (pig)
Lineage: Eukaryota; Metazoa; Chordata; Mammalia; Artiodactyla; Suidae
Description: lncRNA (ENSSSCG00055005028.1)
Source: RNAcentral
UGCUCGACUUCCUUGUAUUUGGGAAAGUGUGGUGGUGGGUGCGCGCUCGCGGCGGAGGGUAAACAUUCGACAGUCCCCGCUCUGAGAGGGAGGGACAGAGAGCGAACUGUCAGAUCCGAGCGGAGCGGGCGGGCGAGAGAGGGAGGGAGAGGGAAAGAGAGAGGGAGAGCGCGCAAACCAGGGCGCAGAGCGAGCUCCCGCGGCAACUCGGCUCCAGCACGGCCAGCGCCAGCGCCGCCGUCGGUGCACCCUCGGAGCCGUGCAUCCUGCCCACUGGAGUUGGUUGUGUAUCAAGGAUCCCCUAUAUGCACACACACACCUCCACCUCCACCAAUGCACUCUUCUUCCUCCUCCUCCUCCAGACCUCUGCUGGGAAAAAAAUAAAACACCAACCCCAACCUUCAGCAGCAAGAGGCAACCAAGAGCUCGGGCAAUAGCAACUUCAGAGAAAUGCACCAUCGCAAGAAGUUUUCCUAGGACAGAACAAAACUUGAAACGCGAGGACCAGAGGGGGAGAGCAGGAGCCAGCCUCUCCUCUCGGCACGCGAGCAGCCAGCAUCACCACGCCUUCAAGGACGAAAAAAGUUUUACUACUCUAAGGGGAGACGAGUGAGCUGCGUUCCUGAGAAGGAGGCGUCAAGGAGCGGCUGGUCGCUGGUCGUCCACGGUUCGGUGAAGAAGAAAGGAGCGGCUUCUUUCUUUGUUGUCCCCCGUGAAAUCUUCACUUAGCAGGUGGACCGAGCCCCGCGCCCGGGCAGGGUCCGCGCUCGCCCGAGGACAGGAGGAGGAGCGCGAGCCGGCGCGCCCGGCCCGGAGCCUCAGCGCAGGCCCGCGCCCCGCCCGGCGAGCCCCACUGGAGCGAGCCGACCGCGCCGGGGCUGGGGGGCGGCCACGACCCCCCCUGAGGGGGGAGGCCACGGAGCGCGCCUCGAGAAGCGAGCCCCCCUCCCCGGAGCGCGGCUCCUGGUGCUGCUGCUGCUGCUGCUGACCAAGGCCGGCCGGCGACCCCCGCGCCCUGCCCAGCGGCCUUGCAGCUGCAGCCGGCGGCCGCGGCGGCGGCGGCGGCGGGGGCGGAGGCGGCGGCGGCGGCGGCGGGGCCGGCGGGGGCGGCGGGGGCCCGGGGCGGGGGCGGAGCGGGGGGAGGCGGCGGGAGGCGGGGGGGCGCGGCGGCGGCGGCGGCCGCGGCCG